GUCAUUCAGCCCACUACUUUCCCCGUAGCUCUUAAGGGUCUCGAUGACUCACUCGGGCCAUAGACGUCAUCUUAUUCAGCGCAGGUGCCUUCAUAUUGCCACAGCUGCAUAGAGGAGAGAGAGAGAGAGAGAGAGAGAGAGAGAGAGGAGACGAGUAGACUGAAUCUGCAAAAAAGGACCAUCACAGAGGAAGAAAUGGAAAUGUCAAGCUCAUAUCUUGCAACUAUGUCUUCUUUUGUUUGUGGCUUAUUGCUUUGUGAACAAUGAGACGAAACACGUUGUGUAUGUUUGUGAAUGUUCCGAUCCAGCUGAUGAACCAGCUAUUGUGCCCACAGGCACAAAGGACAUCAUGCAGCACAAGAUGAUUAGGACAGCGGGUGACUGUCGGCUGAAGGGGUUUGGUGGAUUUCUGACGCUGGAUGGAGAGCGCAUUAAUCUUUCUUAGGGAAAAGCUCUUCUUCCAGUCGGUCUGGGACACGAACGAGCAUUUAAGGUCAAGCUGUUUUGGAUCUGAGUUACAAUUUCAGCUGAGGACAGUGAAUGCUAACUUCUGGAUACCAGCUUAAAACGGCAUGUUUUCAAUUCUAUUACAUUGAUUAAUGUGCAUGAUUCAUGCGUCAUUGGAAUAAAACGAGUCAUGAGAAUUACAAAACCUAAAGUACAAUUAUAUGAGCUUUUGAAGGUGACCAGAAAUACAUACUAGCUAAAUUAGGGCUGUGAUAUUCAUUUCCGUAUUAACAAUUGAACCCAGAGAUCAUUAACAGAGGAGUCUGCCCUUCGUUAAAGAAGAAAACUAUGUCUUAAUUCCACCCUUCAUAAUAUUUGUCUCUGCGUGUCCUCUCAGCGGACCAACAAUAAUGGGCUUUACUGUGCAUAACCAGUCUGCUGUACUCAAUUCCCUCUGCUCUUGUCUCAGAAGCCAUCUCUCUCCGGAGAUGGGUAAGGGCUCCCAUGUGUCCUGCCACUCAUCUAAUUGAGGCCCUGUGAAGAGUGGGAGCCGUUAGUCAGAUCGUCUGUCUCCGGAACCAACCAAGACGAGUCAGCCUGGAGACAGCAGGAGGACAAAGAGAGGCGGAGAUGACGAAAGAGACAUUGUAAGCAGUAGUACAUUAUCACGAACAAUAAAAGCAAAUGUGUUAUUACUUUCAGAGUUGAGGAUGUUUGUGUUGUGUCCAAAUUGAUCCCAUUUCCCG
Long non-coding RNA from Gasterosteus aculeatus aculeatus (three-spined stickleback), 1193 nucleotides. The record is from Ensembl. Lineage: Eukaryota; Metazoa; Chordata; Actinopteri; Perciformes; Gasterosteidae.